UACGGGGGGGGCAAGCGUUGUUCGGAAUUAUUGGGCGUAAAGAGCUCGUAGGCGGCUUGUCACGUCGGGUGUGAAAGCCCGGGGCUUAACCCCGGGUCUGCAUUCGAUACGGGCUAGCUAGAGUGUGGUAGGGGAGAUCGGAAUUCCUGGUGUAGCGGUGAAAUGCGCAGAUAUCAGGAGGAACACCGGUGGCGAAGGCGGCUCGCUGGAUCUUUUCUGACGCUGAGGCGCGAAAGCUAGGGGAGCAAACGGG
This 253-nucleotide ribosomal RNA is filed under the name uncultured bacterium. RNAcentral's name for it is "partial 16S ribosomal RNA". It matches the Rfam family "Bacterial small subunit ribosomal RNA", at positions 524 to 776 of the family's 1533-position model. The record is from RNAcentral.